AAUUAAUUAGCUAUAACCAAGCAUAUGUUUUGAAAACUUAAAAAAGAAUAAAUUUUUCUAUUAAUUU
This 67-nucleotide transfer RNA is filed under the name Setodes iuppiter. Its description in RNAcentral is "tRNA-Ser". The record is from RNAcentral. Lineage: Eukaryota; Metazoa; Arthropoda; Insecta; Trichoptera; Leptoceridae.